UGAGGAAUAUUGGUCAAUGGGCGCAGGCCUGAACCAGCCAAGUCGCGUGAGGGAAGACGGUCCUACGGAUUGUAAACCUCUUUUGUCGGGGAGCAACGCUGCGGACGUGUCCGCAGGUGAGAGUACCCGGAGAAAAAGCAUCGGCUAACUCCGUGCCAGCAGCCGCGGUAAUACGGAGGAUGCGAGCGUUAUCCGGAUUUAUUGGGUUUAAAGGGUGCGCAGGCGGCGUGCCAAGUCAGCGGUCAAAGUUCCGGGCUCAACCCGGUGAUGCCGUUGAAACUGGUGUGCUUGAGUGCGUGCGAGGGAGGCGGAAUGCGUUGUGUAGCGGUGAAAUGCAUAGAUAUGACGCAGAACUCCGAUUGCGAAGGCAGCUUUCCAGCACGCCACUGACGCUGAGGCACGAAAGCGUGGGGAUCGAACAGGAUUAGAUACCCUGGUAGU
This 441-nucleotide ribosomal RNA is filed under the name uncultured Porphyromonadaceae bacterium. Its description in RNAcentral is "bacterial SSU rRNA". It matches the Rfam family "Bacterial small subunit ribosomal RNA", at positions 355 to 794 of the family's 1533-position model. The record is from RNAcentral. Lineage: Bacteria; Pseudomonadati; Bacteroidota; Bacteroidia; Bacteroidales; Porphyromonadaceae.